GACGAACGCUGGCGGCGUGCUUAACACAUGCAAGUCGAACGGAAAGGCCCUGCUUUUGUGGGGUGCUCGAGUGGCGAACGGGUGAGUAACACGUGAGUAACCUGCCCUUGACUUUGGGAUAACUUCAGGAAACUGGGGCUAAUACCGGAUAGGAGCUCCUGCUGCAUGGUGGGGGUUGGAAAGUUUCGGCGGUUGGGGAUGGACUCGCGGCUUAUCAGCUUGUUGGUGGGGUAGUGGCUUACCAAGGCUUUGACGGGUAGCCGGCCUGAGAGGGUGACCGGCCACAUUGGGACUGAGAUACGGCCCAGACUCCUACGGGAGGCAGCAGUGGGGAAUAUUGCACAAUGGGCGGAAGCCUGAUGCAGCAACGCCGCGUGCGGGAUGACGGCCUUCGGGUUGUAAACCGCUUUCGCCUGUGACGAAGCGUGAGUGACGGUAAUGGGUAAAGAAGCACCGGCUAACUACGUGCCAGCAGCCGCGGUGAUACGUAGGGUGCGAGCGUUGUCCGGAUUUAUUGGGCGUAAAGGGCUCGUAGGUGGUUGAUCGCGUCGGAAGUGUAAUCUUGGGGCUUAACCCUGAGCGUGCUUUCGAUACGGGUUGACUUGAGGAAGGUAGGGGAAGAUGGAAUUCUUGGUGGAGCGGUGGAAUGCGCAGAUAUCAGGAGGAGCACCAGUGGCGAAGGCGGUUCUCUGGGCCUUUCCUGACGCUGAGGAGCGAAAGCGUGGGGAGCGAACAGGCUUAGAUACCCUGGUAGUCCACGCUGUAAACGGUGGGUACUAGGUGUGGGGUCCAUUCCACGGGUUCCGUGCCGUAGCUAACGCUUUAAGUACCCCGCCUGGGGAGUACGGCCGCAAGGCUAAAACUCAAAGGAAUUGACGGGGCCCCGCACAAGCGGCGGAGCAUGCGGAUUAAUUCGAUGCAACGCGUAGAACCUUACCUGGGUUUGACAUGGAUCGGGAGUGCUCAGAGAUGGGUGUGCCUCUUUUGGGGUCGGUUCACAGGUGGUGCAUGGCUGUCGUCAGCUCGUGUCGUGAGAUGUUGGGUUAAGUCCCGCAACGAGCGCAACCCUUGUUCACUGUUGCCAGCACGUUAUGGUGGGGACUCAGUGGAGACCGCCGGGGUCAACUCGGAGGAAGGUGGGGAUGACGUCAAGUCAUCAUGCCCCUUAUGUCCAGGGCUUCACGCAUGCUACAAUGGCUGGUACAGAGAGUGGCGAGCCUGUGAGGGUGAGCGAAUCUCGGAAAGCCGGUCUCAGUUCGGAUUGGGGUCUGCAACUCGACCUCAUGAAGUCGGAGUCGCUAGUAAUCGCAGAUCAGCAACGCUGCGGUGAAUACGUUCCCGGGGC
Molecule: ribosomal RNA, 1345 nt
Filed under: uncultured bacterium
Lineage: Bacteria
Description: partial 16S ribosomal RNA
Rfam family: Bacterial small subunit ribosomal RNA
Source: RNAcentral